This is a long non-coding RNA of Spinacia oleracea (spinach), 894 nucleotides long. RefSeq lists it as uncharacterized. NCBI's taxonomy places the organism in Eukaryota, Viridiplantae, Streptophyta, Magnoliopsida, Caryophyllales, Amaranthaceae. The transcript is spliced from 3 exons. The record is from RefSeq and is a predicted model, not a curated record.
AAGGACAAUUAAAGUUUGCAAAUGAUAUUCAGGGGUAAAUUUAAUCACAAAUGAAGAUAAUAUUUUACAGUAAGGUCAGUAACAGGCAUGAGUUAAAAAGGUUGGUUCAGUAGUCUGAUAUUGAAUUAGACAUUCAGGAACCUCCUGGAUUUUGUUUUUCUUUCUUUGUCUAAAUAGCAAUUACUUUUAAAAAGAAUGGAGCAAUUAGUAGUACUCUUAAUGCAUACUGAUCCUUGUUACAAACUGUUGUGGUUUUUCUAGGCUAGACUUGUUAUUGUCUCCUUGGCCCCUUUAUCUGUCUUUCCACCCUGGUGCGAUUGGGAUAAAAAAAGGGUUGGGUCUGAGCUCUGAGGGGACACCAUUACCUUGUUUAUAUUAGCCUUUUCAACCUUUCUUCUUCUCAUUCAUGGAAAAAUAUGAAGGCCAAUUUCGUUGCAUUAUGGCUCAAAUUAUCCAGCUCAAAGCAUUUAUUAAAGUCCUGCAUUUUAUUCUGCAGAAGAUUCUAAAGAUAGAAGGAAGGAUCUAAGGCGCCACCUCACCAAAGUCGUAAAGCUUGGAUUGCUGAUUGGUUAUGGGAAAAAUUCAUGCAGUCCUCUCUGAUGGACCAAUACCGUACGUAGUGAAAAAUGUUGAGCUGUAGCACUAGAAUUAAACUCCUGCUUUGUCCUGAUACUCACACAUGGAAUAGAGAGGAGAGAUGCGCUGAAUGAAACCACAUAAGCUCAGCUCCUCAAGAAGACCGAGACCACUGAACACACACUGGCAGCAUCAACUGCGGCGCUUGAGCAAGAAGAAUUUCAGGGAAUAUAUUCCGGAGUGCAAGCUGAAGUGUUGCUCCUACCGAUGUGCAGCUGGCUCAUUCAAGAACACCACGGGCUGAAUUUCUUUGCUUGA